CGAUUCCGGGAGUAACGAACGGCCGCGGCGGCGACAGCUCUAGCUUCGGAGGAGCGGUUGCGGAGGAGGAAGAAGAGCAGGGAAAGGCGGGAGUCACAGGCGGGACCCCAGCCAUGGGUCCGCGGAUUUAGAGCAGCGGAAGCCACCGGCCCUGUGCCGAGCUGGCUGCUGUUCCUUCCUGUGGCCCCCAUGGCUGAGGACUGGCUGGACUGCCCAGCCCUGGGCCCAGGCUGGAAGCGUCGUGAGGUCUUUCGAAAGUCAGGAGCCACCUGCGGACGCUCAGAUACCUAUUACCAAAGCCCCACAGGAGAUAGGAUCCGAAGCAAAGUUGAACUGACCCGAUACCUCGGCCCUGCGUGCGACCUCACCCUCUUCGACUUCAAACAAGGCAUCUUGUGCUAUCCAGCUCCCAAGACCAGUUCCUUGGCCAUCCCCAGCAAGAAGCGUAAGAAGGCUUCAAGGCCAGCCAAGUCUCGGAAACGUCAGGUUGGAUCCCCGAGGGAUGAGAUCAGGAAGGAGGCCCCAAAGGAUGAAACCAAGGCUGAUGCUGACACAGCCCCAGCUUCACUCCCUGCGCCUGGGUGCUGUGAAAAUUGUGGAAUCAGCUUCUCAGGGGAUGGUACCCAAAGGCAGCGGCUCAAGACACUCUGCAAGGACUGCCGAGCACAGCGAAUUGCUUUCAACCGGGAGCAGAGGAUGUUUAAGCGUGUGGGCUGCGGGGAGUGUACAGCCUGCCUGGUAACUGCGGACUGCGGAGCCUGUUCCACCUGCCUUCUGCAGCUGCCCCAUGAUGUGGCCUCGGGGCUGUUCUGCAAGUGUGAGAGGAGACGGUGCCUCCGGAUUGUGGAAAGGAGCCGAGGGUGUGGAGUAUGCCGGGGCUGUCAGACCCGAGAGGACUGUGGCCGUUGCCGAGUCUGCCUUCGCCCUCCACGCCCUGGUCUCAGGCGCCAGUGGAAGUGUAUCCAGCGGCGCUGCCUAAGGCACCUUGCCCACCGGCUUCGUCGCCACCAUCAGCGAUGUCAACGACACCCUCCCCUACCUGUGGCUCCCCCCGCUGGUAAACGUGGCCACCACAGGGGAGGCUGUGACACCAAGAUGACUGCCAGGGAGCGUCCCCAAACCCAGCCCCCACCUCCAAUUCCUCCAUCGCAGCCUCCAGAGUCACCAGAGCUGCACCCCAGAGCCCUGGCCCCCUCGCCACCUGCCGAGUUCAUCUAUUACUGUGUAGACGAGGACGAGCUACAGCCUUACACGAAUCGCCGACAGAACCGCAAGUGUGGGGCCUGUGCAGCCUGCCUACGGCGGAUGGACUGUGGCCACUGCGACUUCUGCUGUGACAAGCCCAAAUUUGGGGGCAGCAACCAGAAGCGCCAGAAGUGUCGUUGGCGCCAGUGCCUGCAGUUUGCCAUGAAGCGGCUGCUGCCAAGUGUCCAGGCAGGGUCUGAGGAAGGGGCAGGGCCACCCCCACCUUGCCCUCAUCGAAAGAGACCUGGCUCUACUCAUCAGCUCCGUCUGGGCCAGACCCUGAAGCCCCCCUUGGCCACACCCACAGUCCUGCCAGACCAUGCUCAGACUCCAGUGAAGCAGGAAACAGACAGUGGCUUUGUGCUGCCCCCACCUGGCACUGACCUUGUGUUUUUACGGGAAGGUGCAAGCAGUCCCGUGCAGGUGCCUGGCCCUGCCCCAGCUUCCACAGAAGCCCUGCUGCAGGAGGCGCAGUGCCCUGGCCUGACUUGGGUUGUGGCCUUACCUCAGGUGAAGCAAGAGAAGGCGGAUGCCCAGGAUGACUGGACACCGGGCACAGCCAGCCUGACUUCUCCUGUAUUGCUGCCUGGCUGCCCCAGCAAGGCAGUAAACCCAGGCCUGCCACCUGUGAAGCAAGAGCCACCUGACCCUGAGGAGGACAAGGAAGAGAGCAAGGAUGACUCUGCCUCCGAUUCAGCCCCAGAGGAGGAGGCAGGAGGGACUGGCACGCCUGUGAUCACGGAGAUUUUCAGCCUGGGUGGAACCCGCCUCCGGGACACAGCAGUCUGGUUGCCAAGGUCCAAGGACCUUAAAAAACCUGGAGCUAGAAAGCAGUAGACUGGAGGCUUCUGCAGACUAUAGGAUUCAAGGUGAUAUUUACAGACCGGCUUUAUGAGAGAACACUGAUCUACUCAGAGGCUGGACCAUAGAUCCAGAGGCUUAUGUAGGAGUCAGUAGGAACUGGGAAAACCUACCACCAAACCAGACAAGCAGUACUCUGAUCAGUACUUUGAGCUUAUAGAGGAAGUAAGCAGAAAAGGAAGAGAAAGAAUAGAAAUGUGGUGUAUCUGCUCCAACUGGUCCAAUCCCAAGGAGCUUGAGUGUGAUAAGUGUGGACUUUAGGGGUGGGGGAGGGGACGUAUUUAAAGCCCCAACAGAAGAGUCUAAACAAGCCAUCUUCAUAAAUGAUUUUAAAUGGCUUCUGGAUGAGACCUGGCAGUGUGUCUAGUCAUUUUCUCAGGGAGACAGCAGUUGAAAAUGUAAUGUGAAUAAAUGAGGAUCUGCUGUUUAUUGAGUUCCUCCUAUUGACUAUUUAAUCCUCAAAACAGUUUUUAUAGGAGACAUUGAUUUUGCCCAUUUUCACAGAUGGGAAAACAGACUUAAAGACAUUAAAUAACUUGUCCAUUGUCACACGGCUAGUAUGGACAGAGCUUAGAAUCAAACCCAAGUUGUAAAAACCUUUUCUUUAAUCAGUCACUAAAUUGUAAACUGUAAUCUUGUAUUCAAUAAUGUAUAAUAAUAUAGUAAUAGAAUUUUCCAGUGACCUUUUAAACAAGGUGGAUUACUCUAAGCGAUUCUUUACACUGCUGCCUAUAGCAUGGUUUAGGGAGGCCCAAGGAUGGGGAUGGGGUGGAUGGGGUCACCUUAUCAGAACACCUGUGCAUCCAGAGAGUGGGUUCUUCCCAGACCUCUGGCCCUGUGUUAGGAUUCCUCAAAUCCUAAAGAGCAUCCUUCUUUACUGGUUGCUGUCCAUUUUGCUUGUUACCCUCCCUCCCUCCUCCUCAGCCAAAGUAGCCUGCAGAAGUAAAGCUGUUAGCCUAGCUCAUCUUUGCUGACAACUUGUGUCCUCUGCCCCUUGAUGACCCUUGUGCUUGGUUUCUGCUCUCAGCCCCUGUCUGCUAAGUCUGAGUUCUUGCUUCAGAUCCUCCCAAAGGGCCGGUCAUGGCCCAGCCCUCACAUCCCAGUUCUUCUUAAAACGAUUAAGACUUGUGAUUCAUUACUUAGCUAUCUUUAUAGGGCCUGGACUGAGUAGGUGCCUCCUUAAAUCUUGUAGCCUAUGUGCCUCCCUUGCCUUAUGCUAGUCCUAGCUCUGCAGUUUUAGGUAAUUCAUAUGUAGAUUGGCCACUUCCUAACCAUUAGUUCAAUAGAGCCCUCUGCCACUUCCCCUGUCUUUUCUUUCGCCCUGUCCUACCUACUUCAGUUAAAGUCAAGACUGGUUAAUUUUCUCAUAUUGUUUUGCUCCCCCCAGGAUCCAUCUACGCAACCCAAGUAUUCUGUGAUGUCCUAAGUGAAACUGAUUGGCAUUCUGAUCCAUGAUAAGAUCUGGUUCCUAUGUGUAUCAGGGUACAAUCAGAAAAGCAGCAUCACUAUAAGAUUAUAUAUAUAUAUAUAUGUAUAUGUAUAUGUAUAGAUGUGUGUAUGUGUGUGUGUGUGUGUGUGUGUGUGUGUAUUAAGGGAUUUGUUAUAGGGAUUUGACUUAAUGAAAUUGUGGGAGCUGGUUAAACAGUCACUGUAAGGCUGUUGUCUUUGCAUCUAAUGCUGGAGCUUGAAGUCUGCAGGGCAGGCAAUCGGGAAGGGAAGAUGGAUAUAAAGUGUGGGAGACCGAGGAUAUGUUGGCGCCCAAGAGCACAAGCUGGAACCCACAAGGAUGGCCUCGAACCCAUGUCAGUCUCUCACCACCUUCAACUUCGAUGAUGUGGGUGUCCUGCAGAAGAAGCUGGUGCCCUUCAUCACAGAGUUAAAUAUGCAUCUGGCCCAGGAAUUAGAGAAGAUCCCGGGGAAGGUGGAGCAGCUGCAGGCCUGGCUGCAGGCCUGACUGCUGCCCCACACCAACGAGGCUACGUAAACUCUUAACAGUAAAUGAAAAUGAGUAUUUUGCCGAACUGCAAUUGAAAGAAGAAGCAUUAUAGGAGAAAAAAACAAAAUAAGAGUUAUUAAAAGAGAUUAUUAAAAGAGAAGAAAGAGACAUUAUUUUGUGGCUGAAAAGCUGAACCAGCAAUUCAGGAAAUGGAAUCCAAAUCUAGAAACUUAACACAUACAAAACCCGAAGUGGGUGGAUUACAAAUGAUUAAGGAAUGCUACUUUACAGUAAAUUGCGGCCUUAAUGUGGUA
Molecule: RNA transcript, 4356 nt
Organism: Manis pentadactyla (Chinese pangolin)
Lineage: Eukaryota; Metazoa; Chordata; Mammalia; Pholidota; Manidae
Gene: MBD1
Gene name: methyl-CpG binding domain protein 1
Exons: 18
Source: RefSeq, a predicted model, not a curated record